This is a long non-coding RNA of Micropterus salmoides (largemouth bass), 2580 nucleotides long. RefSeq lists it as uncharacterized. The record is from RefSeq and is a predicted model, not a curated record. NCBI's taxonomy places the organism in Eukaryota, Metazoa, Chordata, Actinopteri, Centrarchiformes, Centrarchidae. The transcript is spliced from 3 exons.
UUACUGUGUUUCCGUCAGUGUCGGGAUGGCAGGGGCACACAUCAGAAAGGAAAGGAGGGAGACGUGAAGGAAAGGAAGAGGCGUUUCUGGGGGAGUAAAGGGUGGAGACAGGCUCUUUUCCUCCACACACAGACUGCUGGCUCUUGUUUUCUUCUCCCAGACCUGUCAGGCAGAAUAGAGUCACAUCUGCUCCCCAUAUCUCCUUCAAGUCAGGGGGACACAGUUGGCAAAGCUACCAGCUGCUGGCCAGAAUACCCCCAAAGGAUCCCAGGUGUCUCUAUGAACACUCCCCAAUCAACUCAACGUUGUUGAACAGAGAAGACGAUUCAGAAACCCACCCUGGUUAAGGAAUUAUUUUCAAUUGAAGCUGGUUUCACCUCCUCCUGCAAUCUAUGGACUGAUGGACCCUAAUUUUUCAUUACUACUCAGGUUCUUUGAAGAAAACACACUGCAUUUCACAUGGUCUCCACCCAUAGCCAGUUUUGAUCAAUGACCCUUAAUUGACCCUUGUGUGUCCUCUAUUACAUUGGUUAAAGGUAACCAGAGAGAGAGAGAGAAGAAACCUGAGGGGGUUAAGACCCUAGCGUUGAAAAGAUAGCUGCUGUAACGCAAUGAAUUCCAUGCACAAGUGCACCAACAAGACAUGAAACUGAAUCAAUAUGUCUCGUAGGUCGGACCUGCACCACUUAAAAACCUCUAUUGAUCAGUAUGCCCUUUGGCCUGCAUAAUUCACAGUGACCCUGGUCCAUUUUCCAGUGAGCCCAAAGAUCUCUGCAGUGAAUAAGGUUCAGACAACUGUGAUAAACAAGUUUGCUGGUGGACAGAGUCUAACAGCUGCUCACGGUCAUCCUUAGACUAUCGGUAUUAUAUUAUUAUUUCUUAAUAAUGAAAUAGAUUAUUAAAUGGACGGGUAAUUAUCAAACACAGUACAAUGAGGAAUUUUUAGAUUACAAUUCUUAAAAGUUUAUCAGCAAGGUAAUAAAUCACAAGAUAAUAUGAGGGUUCAUCUGUCUCAGGUCAUAUGUGUGUUUAUUGUUAGGCUUUAUUUUGAUAGCUGUUACCAAACGUGGUAGUGUUUAGAUAGGGUCUCUAAUUUCACAUCACCAAUUUUUGUCACCAAUUUCACAUCAUGUAACAAUCAUUACAUUAUCACUGUUAUUGAGGGUGGUACUGUGAAAAGCAAUUACCUGUGCCCACACCGCACUAGCUGUAAAUUUGUACACCCUACAGAGGCAAUUACCAUGCGUCAUUAUUUUGAGUUUGUGUCACGCUGAGCACACACUCCAUCAGUAAACCAAAACAAAGGCUUCGGUUGGUUUGAUGUAUGGUGAUAUGGCUGUAUAAAAGGAGUUGUGUGUGGUGUGUUUCUCUUUGAUAGCCUGGUACAUGACCAGCGCUGCCUGACAGAGACUGUUUAAUUCAACUCCUACUAUCAUCACGGUCAACAGCGCCAGGACGCAGCCUUUCAGCACCAUUACACUCACUAAUGGAACUGCGUGUAAUAUAUCCUCCCUACGCAAACCUGUCCCUCUCCCCCACACGCCGUCUCCAGCACAGAAGUAUCACUCUACUCUCCCACCCUCCCUUUUGCCUGCCUCACUAAGUCUGCCACCUGCCCUCUACAUGUCUCCCUGUAUCCUGGUCAAUCUCUCUCUGUCUCUUUGUCGGAGAAAAACGCCCACCUCGUGUAUUUCCUUUCUUCCUGUGGUCUUUAUCUAGCGCAUCAUUUCCAAGUUUAACAUCAGACAAUAGAGGGCUGACAAAGUGCCUGAGGUAAAACAAUAAGCGCCUGGUUGGAAGUUUAUCUUAAGAUGCACUUCAGCUCCUCUGUAGCCUCUCAACCUGUGAGCACUUCUGUGAGAAAAUGGAAUAGAGCCACAUUCAUACCAUGGCACACAAAGGCUCUAUAACUUUAAUGUGAUUUUGAACAAUGUGUAACUUUAAUAUCAUAUCACGCUAACCUUGGCAGUAAGAGUCCACUGUGUACAUUUUCCAUUCAUGCUGCCCCCCUGUUGAAUAUGAUUGUGGUAGAUGAAAGGCAUUAUUUUAAUUAUUUUAUUUAAAUGUAAAUUGAUGUCAAGUAAAAUAAAGUCUGAUGUUUUCAAUUAGUCCAACAGUCCUCAUCAUCAGUUGGCAUUUGCUCAGUUGUAAUCUAGCAGGAACCUCUGGGUCUGAAAAGUGAAGCCAAUGCGGAAGUGCCUUUAACCCAAUUCUCUUUCAUGGCCAGCAGGGGGCAACUUGCUAAAAAAGAAGUCAGAUUGCAUUGGAUAUGACAAAAUGACCCCACUUCUCACGUGAUUUAUUACCUGACCUACCCUAGCUCUUCUUCAAUACAGCAUGAUGUUCAUUUAGUAAGUUAUGGUGCCAUUUAGAGGAUAAAUAGAUGAUACAGCAGGGUAUGCCUUAGUGCGGGGCUGCCUUGGGAUUGACAAGUCGCUACUAUGGCGACCUGUCAAUUAGGAUAGAGACAACUCAUAUCCACUGCUUUGUGUAAAUUUAACCAGCACCGUUUAAAAAGUUUAUGAGGAGUUGGCUAUUAAUUUUUCCAAUAAGUACAUUUUGUUCUAUGUUUUUUUUUUU